This 229-nucleotide ribosomal RNA is filed under the name uncultured bacterium. RNAcentral's name for it is "partial 16S ribosomal RNA". It matches the Rfam family "Bacterial small subunit ribosomal RNA", at positions 568 to 796 of the family's 1533-position model. The record is from RNAcentral.
UGCGUAGGCGGAUUAAUAAGUCAGUGGUGAAAUCUCUCGGCUCAACCGGGAAACUGCCAUUGAUACUGUUAAUCUUGAGUUCGGUUGAGGUAGGCGGAAUGUGUUAUGUAGCGGUGAAAUGCUUAGAUAUUACACAGAACACCAAUUGCGUAGGCAGCUUACUAGACCGACACUGACGCUGAGGCACGAAAGCGUGGGUAGCGAACAGGAUUAGAUACCCUGGUAGUCC